RNAcentral lists this ribosomal RNA (492 nucleotides) under uncultured bacterium. RNAcentral describes it as "partial 16S ribosomal RNA". It matches the Rfam family "Bacterial small subunit ribosomal RNA", at positions 28 to 507 of the family's 1533-position model. The record is from RNAcentral.
GAUGAACGCUAGCUACAGGCUUAACACAUGCAAGUCGAGGGGAAACGACAUCGAAAGCUUGCUUUUGAUGGGCGUCGACCGGCGCACGGGUGAGUAACGCGUAUCCAACCUGCCCACCACUUGGGGAUAACCUUGCGAAAGUAAGACUAAUACCCAAUGACGUCUCUAGAAGACAUCUGAAAGAGAUUAAAGAUUUAUCGGUGAUGGAUGGGGAUGCGUCUGAUUAGCUUGUUGGCGGGGUAACGGCCCACCAAGGCGACGAUCAGUAGGGGUUCUGAGAGGAAGGUCCCCCACAUUGGAACUGAGACACGGUCCAAACUCCUACGGGAGGCAGCAGUGAGGAAUAUUGGUCAAUGGACGAGAGUCUGAACCAGCCAAGUAGCGUGCAGGAUGACGGCCCUAUGGGUGGUAAACUGCUUUUAUAAGGGAAUAAAGUGAGUCUCGUGAGACUUUUUGCAUGUACCUUAUGAAUAAGGACCGGCUAAUUCCGUG